Molecule: ribosomal RNA, 292 nt
Filed under: uncultured bacterium
Lineage: Bacteria
Description: partial 16S ribosomal RNA
Rfam family: Bacterial small subunit ribosomal RNA
Source: RNAcentral
GUGCCAGCAGCCGCGGUAAUACGUAGGGGGCAAGCGUUGUCCGGAUUUAUUGGGCGUAAAGCGCACGCAGGCGGUGCAGUAAGUUCUGAGUGACAGGUGGUGGCUUAACUGCCACAGGCCUUGGAAAACUGCUGGACUUGAGGGCUUGAGAGGGACGCGGAAUUCCAGGUGGAGCGGUGAAAUGCGUAGAGAUCUGGAAGAACACCAAAGGCGAAGGCAGCGUCCUGGCGAGCAACUGACGCUAAUGUGCGAAAGCUAGGGGAGCGAACGGGAUUAGAUACCCCCGUAGUCC